AGAGUUGAUCCUGGCUUAGAACGAACGCUGGCGGCGCGUUUAAGCAUGCAAGUCGAGCGGCAAGGGCCUUCGGGCCCCUAGAGCGGCGGACGGGUGAGUAACACGUGGACAAUCUGCCCCCCGGCCCGGGAUAGCCCAGGGAAACCUGGAUUAAUACCGGAUGAGACGGGACCCGCGAUGGCGGGACCCGGGAAAGGCGCUGCGGCGCCGCCGGGGGAUGAGUCUGCGUCCCAUUAGCUAGACGGCGGGGUAACGGCCCACCGUGGCGACGAUGGGUAGCCGGCCUGAGAGGGUGGACGGCCACAUUGGAACUGAGACACGGUCCAGACUCCUACGGGAGGCAGCAGCUAAGAAUCUUCCGCAAUGGGCGAAAGCCUGACGGAGCGACGCCGCGUGAACGAAGAAGGCCGUGAGGUUGUAAAGUUCUUUUCGGGAGGGGGAACAACCGUGGCAGGGAAUGGCCGCGGGAUGACGUGAAUCCCGGAAUAAGCCCCGGCUAACUACGUGCCAGCAGCGGC
RNAcentral lists this ribosomal RNA (518 nucleotides) under uncultured bacterium. RNAcentral describes it as "bacterial SSU rRNA". It matches the Rfam family "Bacterial small subunit ribosomal RNA", at positions 8 to 518 of the family's 1533-position model. The record is from RNAcentral.